UGCAAUCCAUGAUGAAACUUUUCUAUUGUGCUGAUGCUUCUAAGCUGAUUAAUGCAAGAAAAUUUCACCAUCUUUCGGCUGAGAUUGCA
This is a small nucleolar RNA of Diospyros lotus (date-plum), 89 nucleotides long. The record is from RefSeq and is a predicted model, not a curated record. NCBI's taxonomy places the organism in Eukaryota, Viridiplantae, Streptophyta, Magnoliopsida, Ericales, Ebenaceae.